This 331-nucleotide ribosomal RNA is filed under the name uncultured Thermoprotei archaeon. RNAcentral describes it as "bacterial SSU rRNA". It matches the Rfam family "Archaeal small subunit ribosomal RNA", at positions 1023 to 1352 of the family's 1478-position model. The record is from RNAcentral. Lineage: Archaea; Thermoproteati; Thermoproteota; Thermoprotei.
ACCGUCGACAGUCUGGUAACGAGCGAGACCCCUGCGUCUAGUUGCUACCAUUACUCUCUGGAGCAGUGGAGCGAAUUAGACGGACCGCCACAGUUAAUGUGGAGGAAGGGAGGGGCCACGGCAGGUCAGUAUGCCCCGAAACCCUAGGGCUACACGCGGGCUGCAAUGGUAUUGACAAUGUGUUCCGAAUCCGAAAGGAGGAGGCAAUCAUCAAACAAUAUCUCAGUUAUGACUGAGGGCUGUAACUCGCCCUCACGAAUAUGGAAUCCCUAGUAACCGCGCGUCACUGCCGCGCGGUGAAUACGUCCCUGCUCCUUGCACGAAUUCGCCG